UCGAACGGGAAUCUUUCGAGAUUCUAGUGGCGGACGGGUGAGUAACGCGUGAGAACCUGCCUCAAGGAUGGGGACAACAGCGGGAAACUGCUGCUAAUACCCAAUAAGCCGAAAGGUGAAAGAUUUAUUGCCUGGAGAGGGGCUCGCGUCCGAUUAGCUAGUUGGUGGGGUAAGAGCCUACCAAGGCGGCGAUCGGUAGCUGGUCUGAGAGGAUGAGCAGCCACACUGGGACUGAGGCACGGCCCAGACUCCUACGGGAGGCAGCAGUGGGGAAUUUUCCGCAAUGGGCGAAAGCCUGACGGAGCAAUACCGCGUGAGGGAGGAAGGCUCUUGGGUUGUAAACCUCUUUUCUGGGGGAAGAAGUUCUGACGGUACCCCAGGAAUCAGCAUCGGCUAACUCCGUGCCAGCAGCCGCGGUAAUACGGAGGAUGCAAGCGUUAUCCGGAAUUAUUGGGCGUAAAGCGUCCGCAGGUGGUCCAUCAAGUCUGCUGUUAAAGACCGGAGCUCAACUCCGGACAGGCAGUGGAAACUGGUGAACUAGAGUACGGUAGGGGUAGAGGGAAUUCCCAGUGUAGCGGUGAAAUGCGUAGAGAUUGGGAAGAACACCAGUGGCGAAGGCGCUCCACUGGGCCGUAACCGACACUCAGGGACGAAAGCUAGGGUAGCGAAAGGGAUUAGAUACCCCUGUAGUCCUAGCUGUAAACGAUGGAUACUAGGCGUUGCUUGUAUCGACCCGAGCAGUGCCGUAGCUAACGCGUUAAGUAUCCCGCCUGGGGAGUACGCACGCAAGUGUGAAACUCAAAGGAAUUGACGGGGGCCCGCACAAGCGGUGGAGUAUGUGGUUUAAUUCGAUGCAACGCGAGAACCUUACCAGGCUUGACAUGUC
RNAcentral lists this ribosomal RNA (886 nucleotides) under uncultured cyanobacterium. Its description in RNAcentral is "bacterial SSU rRNA". It matches the Rfam family "Bacterial small subunit ribosomal RNA", at positions 62 to 990 of the family's 1533-position model. Lineage: Bacteria; Bacillati; Cyanobacteriota. The record is from RNAcentral.